CUCCGCCGGCGACCGGCGCACGGGUGAGUAACACGUAUGCAACCUGCCCCUGUCAGGGGGACAACCCGCCGAAAGGCGGGCUAAACCCGCGUACAUGCCACCGGGGCAUCCCGGAGGCAGGAAAGGCUUCGGCCGGACAGGGAUGGGCAUGCGGCGCAUUAGCUAGUCGGCGGGGUAACGGCCCACCGAGGCGACGAUGCGUAGGGGUUCUGAGAGGAAGGUCCCCCACACUGGUACUGAGACACGGACCAGACUCCUACGGGAGGCAGCAG
This 272-nucleotide ribosomal RNA is filed under the name uncultured bacterium. Its description in RNAcentral is "partial 16S ribosomal RNA". It matches the Rfam family "Bacterial small subunit ribosomal RNA", at positions 83 to 354 of the family's 1533-position model. The record is from RNAcentral.